GGCCUGGGAAAUCAUGAAGCUUCUUAUCCUUACCUGCCUUGUAGUGGCUGCUCUUGCCAGGCCUAAAUUUUCUGGUAGUAGACACCCAGAACUCAUUCAAAAUGAACCAGACAGCAGAGAGGAAACCCUCAAAGAAAGACAGUUUUCUAGGUUUGUUCUGCCUAUAGGAAGAGAAUUAAGAGAGGAAUACCAAAAUGAAAUGAACAGG
Molecule: non-coding RNA, 208 nt
Organism: Manis javanica (Malayan pangolin)
Lineage: Eukaryota; Metazoa; Chordata; Mammalia; Pholidota; Manidae
Source: RefSeq, a predicted model, not a curated record